UGGGGAAUAUUGGACAAUGGGCGAAAGCCUGAUCCAGCCAUGCCGCGUGAGUGAUGAAGGCCUUAGGGUUGUAAAGCUCUUUCAGUGGGGAAGAUAAUGACGGUACCCACAGAAGAAGCCCCGGCUAACUUCGUGCCAGCAGCCGCGGUAAUACGAAGGAGGCUAGCGUUGUUCGGAUUUACUGGGCGUAAAGCGCACGUAGGCGGAUCGUUAAGUCGGGGGUGAAAUCCUGGAGCUCAACUCCAGAACUGCCUUCGAUACUGGCGAUCUUGAGUCCGGAAGAGGUGAGUGGAACUCCUAGUGUAGAGGUGAAAUUCGUAGAUAUUCGGAAGAACACCAGUGGCGAAGGCGACUAACUGGACAUGUAUUGACGCUGAGGUGCGAAAGCGUGGGGAGCAAA
RNAcentral lists this ribosomal RNA (400 nucleotides) under uncultured bacterium. RNAcentral describes it as "bacterial SSU rRNA". It matches the Rfam family "Bacterial small subunit ribosomal RNA", at positions 355 to 772 of the family's 1533-position model. The record is from RNAcentral.